Molecule: long non-coding RNA, 344 nt
Organism: Branchiostoma floridae (Florida lancelet)
Lineage: Eukaryota; Metazoa; Chordata; Leptocardii; Amphioxiformes; Branchiostomatidae
Exons: 3
Source: RefSeq, a predicted model, not a curated record
UCUACAAUGGCUACACUGGUCGCUACUAUCGUUUUUCCUGUUUCAGUGACGGUUGUUGGAUGACCACUGACUCUUCGCAGGGUAACCGACAAGUCUACUUGGAUGCGAAUAUAAGCCACGGCUUGACGAUUUCAACCAGCGAAGAAGCGUUGUCUGGGACAGAAGAUUUGUUGACUGUGCAAAUCUUCUCUGACGUUUGUAAUGAUGUCUGUGUGACGACGAGAGUGCCCGAUCUCUUCGAUGAUGGAACAACAUACGAGCGAAUCUUUCCCGGGGCCAAUUUUGGUGAUCCUUCUGGCCUUAUGCUUUCUACUUCCGGGUACGACAGGGCCAAGUUAGACUGG